GACGAACGCUGGCGGCGCGCCUAACACAUGCAAGUCGAACGGAGAUCAUCCUUCGGGGUGGUUUUAGUGGCGGACGGGUGAGUAACACGUGAGGAACCUGCCUUUGAGAGUGGGAUACCGUCUGGAAACGGACGUUAAUACCGCAUGAUGCAGCGAGGCCACAUGGCCAUGCUGCCAAAGAUUUAUCGCUCAAAAGAUGGCCUCGCGUCUGAUUAGAUAGUUGGCGGGUAAUGGCCCACCAAGUCUACGAUCAGUAGCCGGACUGAGAGGUCGAACGGCCACAUUGGGACUGAGAUACGGCCCAGACUCCUACGGGAGGCAGCAGUGGGGAUAUUGCACAAUGGGCGAAAGCCUGAUGCAGCGACGCCGCGUGAGGGAAGACGGUUUUCGGAUUGUAAACCUCUGUCUUCGGGGACGAAACAAGACGGUACCGAGGAGGAAGCCACGGCUAACUACGUG
RNAcentral lists this ribosomal RNA (459 nucleotides) under uncultured bacterium. RNAcentral's name for it is "bacterial SSU rRNA". It matches the Rfam family "Bacterial small subunit ribosomal RNA", at positions 28 to 507 of the family's 1533-position model. The record is from RNAcentral.